RNAcentral lists this ribosomal RNA (484 nucleotides) under uncultured bacterium. RNAcentral's name for it is "partial 16S ribosomal RNA". It matches the Rfam family "Bacterial small subunit ribosomal RNA", at positions 30 to 507 of the family's 1533-position model. The record is from RNAcentral.
AUUGAACGCUGGCGGCAGGCCUAACACAUGCAAGUCGAGCGGAUGAAGGGAGCUUGCUCCUGGAUUCAGCGGCGGACGGGUGCGUAAUGCCUAGGAAUCUGCCAGGUAGUGGGGGAUAACGUCCGGAAACGGGCGCUAAUACCGCAUACGUCCUGAGGGAGAUAGGGGGGGAUCUUCGGACCUCACGCCAUCAGAUGAGCCUAGGUGGGAUUAGCUAGUUGGUGGGGUAAAGGCCUACCAAGGCGACGAUCCGUAACUGGUCUGAUAGGAUGAUCAGUCACGCUAGACCUGCAACACGGUCCAGACUCCUACGGGAGGCAGCGGUGGGGAAUAUUAGACAAUGGGCGGAAGCCUGAUCCGGCCCUGCCGCGUGUGUGAAGAAGGUCUUCGGAUUGUAAAGCACUUUCAGUUGGGAGGAAGGGCAGUAAGUUAAUACCUUGCUGUUUUGACGUUACCAACAGAAUAAGCACCGGCUAACUUCGUG